AUAAUGGGUCAGCGACUUAUAUUCUGUAGCAAGGUUAACCGAAUAGGGGAGCCGAAGGGAAACCGAGUCUUAACUGGGCGUUAAGUUGCAGGGUAUAGACCCGAAACCCGGUGAUCUAGCCAUGGGCAGGUUGAAGGUUGGGUAACACUAACUGGAGGACCGAACCGACUAAUGUUGAAAAAUUAGCGGAUGACUUGUGGCUGGGGGUGAAAGGCCAAUCAAACCGGGAGAUAGCUGGUUCUCCCCGAAAGCUAUUUAGGUAGCGCCUCGUGAAUUCAUCUCCGGGGGUAGAGCACUGUUUCGGCAAGGGGGUCAUCCCGACUUACCAACCCGAUGCAAACUGCGAAUACCGGAGAAUGUUAUCACGGGAGACACACGGCGGGUGCUAACGUCCGUCGUGAAGAGGGAAACAACCCAGACCGCCAGCUAAGGUCCCAAAGUCAUGGUUAAGUGGGAAACGAUGUGGGAAGGCCCAGACAGCCAGGAUGUUGGCUUAGAAGCAGCCAUCAUUUAAAGAAAGCGUAAUAGCUCACUGGUCGAGUCGGCCUGCGCGGAAGAUGUAACGGGGCUAAACCAUGCACCGAAGCUGCGGCAGCGACGCUGAUGCGUUGUUGGGUAGGGGAGCGUUCUGUAAGCCUGCGAAGGUGUGCUGUGAGGCAUGCUGGAGGUAUCAGAAGUGCGAAUGCUGACAUAAGUAACGAUAAAGCGGGUGAAAAGCCCGCUCGCCGGAAGACCAAGGGUUCCUGUCCAACGUUAAUCGGGGCAGGGUGAGUCGACCCCUAAGGCGAGGCCGAAAGGCGUAGUCGAUGGGAAACAGGUUAAUAUUCCUGUACUUGGUGUUACUGCGAAGGGGGGACGGAGAAGGCUAUGUUGGCCGGGCGACGGUUGUCCCGGUUUAAGCGUGUAGGCUGGUUUUCCAGGCAAAUCCGGAAAAUCAAGGCUGAGGCGUGAUGACGAGGCACUACGGUGCUGAAGCAACAAAUGCCCUGCUUCCAGGAAAAGCCUCUAAGCAUCAGGUAACAUCAAAUCGUACCCCAAACCGACACAGGUGGUCAGGUAGAGAAUACCAAGGCGCUUGAGAGAACUCGGGUGAAGGAACUAGGCAAAAUGGUGCCGUAACUUCGGGAGAAGGCACGCUGAUAUGUAGGUGAAGCGACUUGCUCGUGGAGCUGAAAUCAGUCGAAGAUACCAGCUGGCUGCAACUGUUUAUUAAAAACACAGCACUGUGCAAACACGAAAGUGGACGUAUACGGUGUGACGCCUGCCCGGUGCCGGAAGGUUAAUUGAUGGGGUCAGCGCAAGCGAAGCUCUUGAUCGAAGCCCCGGUAAACGGCGGCCGUAACUAUAACGGUCCUAAGGUAGCGAAAUUCCUUGUCGGGUAAGUUCCGACCUGCACGAAUGGCGUAAUGAUGGCCAGGCUGUCUCCACCCGAGACUCAGUGAAAUUGAACUCGCUGUGAAGAUGCAGUGUACCCGCGGCAAGACGGAAAGACCCCGUGAACCUUUACUAUAGCUUGACACUGAACAUUGAGCCUUGAUGUGUAGGAUAGGUGGGAGGCUUUGAAGUGUGGACGCCAGUCUGCAUGGAGCCGACCUUGAAAUACCACCCUUUAAUGUUUGAUGUUCUAACGUGGACCCGUGAUCCGGGUUGCGGACAGUGUCUGGUGGGUAGUUUGACUGGGGCGGUCUCCUCCUAAAGAGUAACGGAGGAGCACGAAGGUUGGCUAAUCCUGGUCGGACAUCAGGAGGUUAGUGCAAUGGCAUAAGCCAGCUUGACUGCGAGCGUGACGGCGCGAGCAGGUGCGAAAGCAGGUCAUAGUGAUCCGGUGGUUCUGAAUGGAAGGGCCAUCGCUCAACGGAUAAAAGGUACUCCGGGGAUAACAGGCUGAUACCGCCCAAGAGUUCAUAUCGACGGCGGUGUUUGGCACCUCGAUGUCGGCUCAUCACAUCCUGGGGCUGAAGUAGGUCCCAAGGGUAUGGCUGUUCGCCAUUUAAAGUGGUACGCGAGCUGGGUUUAGAACGUCGUGAGACAGUUCGGUCCCUAUCUGCCGUGGGCGCUGGAGAACUGAGGGGGGCUGCUCCUAGUACGAGAGGACCGGAGUGGACGCAUCACUGGUGUUCGGGUUGUCAUGCCAAUGGCACUGCCCGGUAGCUAAAUGCGGAAGAGAUAAGUGCUGAAAGCAUCUAAGCACGAAACUUGCCCCGAGAUGAGUUCUCCCUGACUCCUUGAGAGUCCUGAAGGAACGUUGAAGACGACGACGUUGAUAGGCCGGGUGUGUAAGCGCAGCGAUGCGUUGAGCUAACCGGUACUAAUGAACCGUGAGGCUUAACCUUACAACGCCGAAGGUGUUU
RNAcentral lists this ribosomal RNA (2351 nucleotides) under Escherichia coli. RNAcentral's name for it is "partial 23S ribosomal RNA". It matches the Rfam family "Bacterial large subunit ribosomal RNA", at positions 612 to 2925 of the family's 2925-position model. The record is from RNAcentral. Lineage: Bacteria; Pseudomonadati; Pseudomonadota; Gammaproteobacteria; Enterobacterales; Enterobacteriaceae.